CCAUUCUUUCUAUUUUAGUACUGGAAAUUCCUUAUUAUGAUCCAUAUAUAAAAAUUGUCUCAUGUUCUCAGGAGGCUGUUACAAGGAGAGUCCUGAGCUUGGGCUACACAAUAAGACCCUUUCUCAUCCCCUGGAAAUCUACCACUUGAGCCACACCUGCAGCUCUGAGACUCUGUCUCAAAAAGCAACAAAAACAGAAGUAAAACCCACACUCAUCUAAUAUUCUAAUUGUGUUGCCCAAAUCUGCAAAGUUACAAACUGUACUGUGGAUUUUGUACAAUAUCUCAGGUCUAGGCCCAGCUCUGCUCAUAAGUUUCUACAACUUGGGGAGAAGAAGCAGCAAUUGCUGGUUGAAUGCCUUAGAGAUGAAGGUGGAAUC
This is a long non-coding RNA of Perognathus longimembris pacificus (Pacific pocket mouse), 379 nucleotides long. RefSeq lists it as uncharacterized. The record is from RefSeq and is a predicted model, not a curated record. Lineage: Eukaryota; Metazoa; Chordata; Mammalia; Rodentia; Heteromyidae. The transcript is spliced from 4 exons.